Molecule: ribosomal RNA, 253 nt
Filed under: uncultured bacterium
Lineage: Bacteria
Description: partial 16S ribosomal RNA
Rfam family: Bacterial small subunit ribosomal RNA
Source: RNAcentral
UACGAAGGGGGCUAGCGUUGUUCGGAAUCACUGGGCGUAAAGCGUACGUAGGCGGACCGUUAAGUCGGGGGUGAAAUCCCAGGGCUCAACCCUGGAACUGCCUUCGAUACUGGCGGUCUGGAGUCCGGGAGAGGUGAGUGGAACUCCUAGUGUAGAGGUGAAAUUCGUAGAUAUUAGGAAGAACACCAGUGGCGAAGGCGGCUCACUGGCCCGGUACUGACGCUGAGGUACGAAAGCGUGGGGAGCAAACAGG